RNAcentral lists this ribosomal RNA (305 nucleotides) under uncultured bacterium. RNAcentral's name for it is "bacterial SSU rRNA". It matches the Rfam family "Bacterial small subunit ribosomal RNA", at positions 333 to 635 of the family's 1533-position model. The record is from RNAcentral.
GUGGUCCUACGGGGCGCAGCAGUGAGGAAUAUUGGUCAAUGGGCGGGAGCCUGAACCAGCCAAGUCGCGUGAAGGAUGACGGCCCUACGGGUUGUAAACUUCUUUUGUCAGGGAGCAAUUGGGUCCACGCGUGGGCUUCGCGAGAGUACCUGAAGAAAAAGCAUCGGCUAACUCCGUGUCAGCAGCCGCGGUAAUACGGAGGAUGCGAGCGUUAUCCGGAUUUAUUGGGUUUAAAGGGUGCGUAGGCGGAAUAUCAAGUCAGCGGUAAAAAUUCGGGGCUCAACCCCGUCGUGCCGUUGAAACUG